AGCAUAUCAAUAAGCGGAGGAAAAGAAACUAACAAGGAUUCCCCUAGUAACUGCGAGUGAAGCGGGAAAAGCUCAAAUUUAAAAUCUGGCAGUCUUUGGCUGUCCGAGUUGUAAUCUAGAGAAGUGUUAUCCGCGCUGGACCGUGUACAAGUCUCCUGGAAUGGAGCGUCAUAGAGGGUGAGAAUCCCGUCUUUGACACGGACUGCCAGGGCUUUGUGAUGCGCUCUCAAAGAGUCGAGUUGUUUGGGAAUGCAGCUCAAAAUGGGUGGUAAAUUCCAUCUAAAGCUAAAUAUUGGCGAGAGACCGAUAGCGAACAAGUACCGUGAGGGAAAGAUGAAAAGAACUUUGGAAAGAGAGUUAAACAGUACGUGAAAUUGCUGAAAGGGAAACGCUUGAAGUCAGUCGCGUUGUCCAGGGAUCAACCUUGCUUUUGCUUGGUGUACUUUCUGGUUGACGGGUCAGCAUCAAUUUUGACUAUUGGAAAAAUUUCAAGGGAAUGUGGCAUCUUCGGGUGUGUUAUAGCCCUUUUUUGUAUACAAUGGUUAGGAUUGAGGAACUCAGCACGCCGCAAGGCCGGGUUUUUAACCACGUACGUGCUUAGGAUGCUGGCAUAAUGGCUUUAAUCGACCCGUCUUGAAACACGGACCAAGGAGUCUAACAUACCUGCGAGUGUUUGGGUGGAAAACCCGAGCGCGCAAUGAAAGUGAAAGUUGAGAUCCCUGUCAUGGGGAGCAUCGACGCCCGGACCAGACCUUUUGUGACGGCUCCGCGGUAGAGCAUGUAUGUUGGGACCCGAAAGAUGGUGAACUAUGCCUGAAUAGGGUGAAGCCAGAGGAAACUCUGGUGGAGGCUCGUAGCGAUUCUGACGUGCAAAUCGAUCGUCAAAUUUGGGUAUAGGGGCGAAAGACUAAUCGAACCAUCUAGUAGCUGGUUCCUGC
RNAcentral lists this ribosomal RNA (938 nucleotides) under Cystinarius eutactus. RNAcentral's name for it is "LSU rRNA". It matches the Rfam family "Eukaryotic large subunit ribosomal RNA", at positions 37 to 961 of the family's 3401-position model. The record is from RNAcentral. Lineage: Eukaryota; Fungi; Basidiomycota; Agaricomycetes; Agaricales; Cortinariaceae.